GCACCUACCGAUUGAAUGGUUCGGUGAAAAUCUCGGACUGCGGCUUGGAUGCCUCCGGGCAACCAAGCUGUGGAAAGUUGUUUAAACCUCAUCAUUUAGAGGAAGGUGAAGUCGUAACAAGGUUUCUGUAGGUGAACCUGCAGAAGGAUCAAUAUCGGAAUAGCGUCGUGUAGGUAAACAGUGUAUAUCUCGGUUGUCUCCGUAUCAUUAAAAUAAUAUCCUCCUUCGCUUCCUCCCUUUUACACUUUCUUUUCUCCCUUUUUCCUCCUUUUCUUUU
RNAcentral lists this unclassified non-coding RNA (277 nucleotides) under sea anemone metagenome. Its description in RNAcentral is "partial contains small subunit ribosomal RNA and internal transcribed spacer 1". The stretch from base 1 to 154 matches the Rfam family "Eukaryotic small subunit ribosomal RNA", at positions 1678 to 1831 of the family's 1831-position model. The record is from RNAcentral.